UAAAUGAAACUAGAUACAAGCGAGCGGCGGACGGGUGAGUAACACGUGGUAACCUGCCCAAGAGACUGGGAUAACACCUGGAAACAGAUGCUAAUACCGGAUAACAACACUAGACGCAUGUCUAGAGUUUGAAAGAUGGUUCUGCUAUCACUCUUGGAUGGACCUGCGGUGCAUUAGCUAGUUGGUAAGGUAACGGCUUACCAAGGCAAUGAUGCAUAGCCGAGUUGAGAGACUGAUCGGCCACAUUGGGACUGAGACACGGCCCAAACUCCUACGGGAGGCAGCAGUAGGGAAUCUUCCACAAUGGACGAAAGUCUGAUGGAGCAACGCCGCGUGAGUGAAGAAGGGUUUCGGCUCGUAAAGCUCUGUUGGUAGUGAAGAAAGAUAGAGGUAGUAACUGGCCUUUAUUUGACGGUAAUUACUUAGAAAGUCACGGCUAACUACGUGCCAGCAGCCGCGGUAAUACGUAGGUGGCAAGCGUUGUCCGGAUUUAUUGGGCGUAAAGCGAGUGCAGGCGGUUCAAUAAGUCUGAUGUGAAAGCCUUCGGCUCAACCGGAGAAUUGCAUCAGAAACUGUUGAACUUGAGUGCAGAAGAGGAGAGUGGAACUCCAUGUGUAGCGGUGGAAUGCGUAGAUAUAUGGAAGAACACCAGUGGCGAAGGCGGCUCUCUGGUCUGCAACUGACGCUGAGGCUCGAAAGCAUGGGUAGCGAACAGGAUUAGAUACCCUGGUAGUCCAUGCCGUAAACGAUGAGUGCUAAGUGUUGGGAGGUUUCCGCCUCUCAGUGCUGCAGCUAACGCAUUAAGCACUCCGCCUGGGGAGUACGACCGCCAGGUUGAAACUCAAAGGAAUUGACGGGGGCCCGCACAAGCGGUGGAGCAUGUGGUUUAAUUCGAA
RNAcentral lists this ribosomal RNA (896 nucleotides) under uncultured bacterium. Its description in RNAcentral is "bacterial SSU rRNA". It matches the Rfam family "Bacterial small subunit ribosomal RNA", at positions 73 to 955 of the family's 1533-position model. The record is from RNAcentral.